GAGGGUAUAGCCCAGUGGUAGAGCACAUGCUUGGUGUGCACAAGGUCCUGGGUUCAAUCCUCAGUGCCUGUU
RNAcentral lists this transfer RNA (72 nucleotides) under Camelus bactrianus (Bactrian camel). It matches the Rfam family "tRNA". From Rfam's summary of the family: Transfer RNA (tRNA) molecules are approximately 80 nucleotides in length. Their secondary structure includes four short double-helical elements and three loops (D, anti-codon, and T loops). The record is from Rfam by way of RNAcentral. RNAcentral also lists the same sequence under 2 other names. Lineage: Eukaryota; Metazoa; Chordata; Mammalia; Artiodactyla; Camelidae.